CACUCCAGCAAUAAUAUAGUAGUCAGCCAAAGGAAUAACUUGUGUUGGAGAUUGUCUUUGCUGCUUUCGGAUAAUGAAGAGAAUGGGCUCUUGAGCGUGAAGGAGGAUGUACUCCACUCCAACCAUCUGGUUCAAGUGAUCCAAGGUCAUCCGCUGCAUUUUGACAACUUCAUUAUUACAAGUUCGGUCGUAGAAUGGGUUACUGCGCUCCGAGAAGUAGUCCAACACACUGCCAUUGUUUAAGAUUGGAAUCCAGGCACUGUCGACCCAGGAAAUUCCCAAGAGGUUAUCUCGGACGUCCACCGCCGCCAUGGCCCCGGCGCUGCCAGCCCGCCGAGCACCGGAAGUGGGGCAGAGCGGCGCCGGCACGCCGGCCGGAAGUCGAACGCCGCCACGGCGGGACGGAGCGGCGCCGCUCAGCGCCGGCAGUCCGAGAGAGCGCCCUCAGCGGCAGAGCCGGGCCUCCGCCUGCACGGGCUCGGGCCUGGGGAG
RNAcentral lists this long non-coding RNA (492 nucleotides) under Gallus gallus (chicken). Lineage: Eukaryota; Metazoa; Chordata; Aves; Galliformes; Phasianidae. The record is from RNAcentral.